AUGGAUUAAGAGCUUGCUCUUAUGAAGUUAGCGGCGGACGGGUGAGUAACACGUGGGUAACCUGCCCAUAAGACUGGGAUAACUCCGGGAAACCGGGGCUAAUACCGGAUAACAUUUUGAACCGCAUGGUUCGAAAUUGAAAGGCGGCUUCGGCUGUCACUUAUGGAUGGACCCGCGUCGCAUUAGCUAGUUGGUGAGGUAACGGCUCACCAAGGCAACGAUGCGUAGCCGACCUGAGAGGGUGAUCGGCCACACUGGGACUGAGACACGGCCCAGACUCCUACGGGAGGCAGCAGUAGGGAAUCUUCCGCAAUGGACGAAAGUCUGACGGAGCAACGCCGCGUGAGUGAUGAAGGCUUUCGGGUCGUAAAACUCUGUUGUUAGGGAAGAACAAGUGCUAGUUGAAUAAGCUGGCACCUUGACGGUACCUAACCAGAAAGCCACGGCUAACUACGUGCCAGCAGCCGCGGUAAUACGUAGGUGGCAAGCGUUAUCCGGAAUUAUUGGGCGUAAAGCGCGCGCAGGUGGUUUCUUAAGUCUGAUGUGAAAGCCCACGGCUCAACCGUGGAGGGUCAUUGGAAACUGGGAGACUUGAGUGCAGAAGAGGAAAGUGGAAUUCCAUGUGUAGCGGUGAAAUGCGUAGAGAUAUGGAGGAAC
Molecule: ribosomal RNA, 657 nt
Filed under: Bacillus anthracis (anthrax bacterium)
Lineage: Bacteria; Bacillati; Bacillota; Bacilli; Caryophanales; Bacillaceae
Description: bacterial SSU rRNA
Rfam family: Bacterial small subunit ribosomal RNA
Source: RNAcentral